RNAcentral lists this ribosomal RNA (253 nucleotides) under uncultured bacterium. Its description in RNAcentral is "partial 16S ribosomal RNA". It matches the Rfam family "Bacterial small subunit ribosomal RNA", at positions 524 to 776 of the family's 1533-position model. The record is from RNAcentral.
UACGUAGGGUGCAAGCGUUGUUCGGAUUUACUGGGCGUAAAGGGCGCGUAGGCGGCGUGACAAGUCACUUGUGAAAUCUCCGGGCUUAACUCGGAACGGUCAAGUGAUACUGUCGUGCUAGAGUACAGAAGGGGCAACUGGAAUUCUCGGUGUAGCGGUGAAAUGCGUAGAUAUCGAGAGGAACACCUGCGGCGAAGGCGGGUUGCUGGGCUGAUACUGACGCUGAGGCGCGAAAGCCAGGGGAGCGAACGGG